GGAAGGAUCAUUACAAAUCAAUGAGUGGAUGUGGGGGGUGCUUAAACACACUCUCCUCUGACACACAUAUUUACGCUUGUUGUGUUUGACAGAGUAAUGCUAUAUAUACAAAAUAGACAACUUUUAACAACGGAUCUCUGGGCUCUUGCAACGAUGAAGAACGCAGCCAAGUGCGAUAUUUAAUGCGAUUUGCAUGAAUCUGUGAGUCAUCGAGUCUUUGAACGCAACUUGCGCCACUUGUGGCAUGUCUGUUUGAGUACCGUAUAACAACUGCAGCAAUGCGAAUUGACUAUCAUUAUUGAUGGUUUAAAUGAGUGUUAUACACAGCGGGGCAGUCUGUGAAGCUAGAGACGCAAGUCUUGUUCACUUUCUACCCCCUCUUAUUCACUGGUCUCAAAUCAGGCAAGAUUACCCGCUGAACUUAAGCAUAUCAGUAAGCGGAGGAAAAGAAACUAACAAGGAUUCCCCUAGUAAUGGCGAAUGAAGCGGGAAUAGCUCAAAGUUUAAAUCUCAGUGUUCUGCACUGCGAAUUGUAGUCUAAAGAAGGUGAUCUAGGUAGUGGGAGGUGAUCAAGUCCCUUGGGAUAGGGCGCCAGAGAGGGUGAGAGCCCCGUCAAUCACUGCACACUACCAAAGUGAGAGCCUUUCAACGAGUCGAGUUGUUUGGGAAUGCAGCUCAAAGUGGGUGGUAAAUCUCAUCUAAGGCUAAAUACUGGCAAGAGACCGAUAGCGAACAAGUACCGUGAGGGAAAGAUGAAAAGCACCUUGAAAAGGGAGUUAAACAGUGCGUGAAAUUGUUAAAAGGGAAGCGAUUGAGAUCAGUGUUGGUCAGUCGUUCAAGCCGGUGCUUAGGUGCCGGCAGCGACGGCAGGCCGAGUCAAUGCCAGUUGUGGGCGCUGGAGACGCGCUGCGGGAAGGUGGGGUCAGUCUUCGGGCUGGCUCUUUAUAGACUGCAGUGGCCGCAGCGGCUGCGACUGGAAGCGAGGCAACGCGGGCAGUGAUCAGCGGGAAGGGUGAGGUAGACAAUUUAUUGACUGCCACCCCGACUUGAUGUAAUCUGCUCACCGAGUUGAGCGCCUUUGACAAAAUGGUCUUAAACGACCCGUCUUGAAACACGGACCAAGGAGUCUAACAAUGUUGCGAGCACUAUGGUGGUAAACCAGAGAUGCGCAAUGAAAGUGAAAGCCUGCGAGCUCCGGCGCAGCAGGGACCGGCUUGGCAGUAUUCUGCCAGGACGAGUAAGAGCAUUAUUGUUGGGACCCGAAAGGCGGUGAACUAUGCCUGACUAGGGCGAAGCCAGAGGAAACUCUGGUGGAGGCUCGUAGCCGUUCUGACGUGCAAAUCGAUGGUAAAAGUUGGGUAUAGGGGCGAAAGACUAAUCGAACCGCCUAGUAGCUGGUUCCCUC
This 1405-nucleotide unclassified non-coding RNA is filed under the name uncultured fungus. RNAcentral describes it as "sequence contains 18S rRNA gene, ITS1, 5.8S rRNA gene, ITS2, 28S rRNA gene". The stretch from base 389 to 1405 matches the Rfam family "Eukaryotic large subunit ribosomal RNA", at positions 1 to 961 of the family's 3401-position model. The record is from RNAcentral. Lineage: Eukaryota; Fungi.